RNAcentral lists this ribosomal RNA (253 nucleotides) under uncultured bacterium. RNAcentral's name for it is "partial 16S ribosomal RNA". It matches the Rfam family "Bacterial small subunit ribosomal RNA", at positions 524 to 776 of the family's 1533-position model. The record is from RNAcentral.
CACGUAGGGCGCAAGCGUUGUCCGGAAUUAUUGGGCGUAAAGAGCUCGUAGGCGGUCUGUUGCGUCCGCUGUGAAAACUCGGGGCUUAACCCCGAGCCUGCAGUGGAUACGGGCAGACUAGAGGUAGGUAGGGGAGAAUGGAAUUCCCGGUGUAGCGGUGAAAUGCGCAGAUGUCGGGAGGAACACCGGUGGCGAAGGCGGUUCUCUGGGCCUUACCUGACGCUGAGGAGCGAAAGCGUGGGGAGCGAACAGG